RNAcentral lists this long non-coding RNA (445 nucleotides) under Brassica rapa (field mustard). Its description in RNAcentral is "long non-coding RNA (BRAP_LNC006073)". Lineage: Eukaryota; Viridiplantae; Streptophyta; Magnoliopsida; Brassicales; Brassicaceae. The record is from RNAcentral.
CCUAUGCCUAAGUUCCCUCCUUUUAAGGGAUUUGAUCAUCCUUUCCCUUUACCUCCACCUUUGGAGCUUCCACCGUUUCCUAAACCAUGCCCACCACCUCCGGUUCCGGUGUACGAGCCACCCCCAAAGGUGGAACUUCCACCACCUGUCCCGGUUCACGAGCCACCCCCAAAGGUAGAGGUUCCACCACCCGUCCCGGUUCACGACCCACCGCCAAAGGUGGAGCACCCACCUCCGGUUCCGGUUUACAAGCCACCUCCAAAGGUAGAGCACCCACCUCCAGUUCCGGUUUACAAGCCGCCUCCAAAGGUAGAGCACCCACCUCCGGUUCCGGUUUACAAGCCACCUCCAAAGGUAGAGCACCCACCUCCGGUUCCAGUACACAAGCCACCAACAAUCCCUAAGAAGCCAUGCCCGCCUAAGUCGCCGAAGAUUGAGCUUCCAC